AUAUAUGUGCUCUGGAUUUCAAAACGGAGUUCAUAAUAUGCAUUUAAAAUAGUCUGAAGAUAGCAGUAAUGCAGUUAUACUGUUAUAGUAAGCAGAGGGCCACUGUUUAUUCACUGUUUUUUUUUUUUUUAUCAUAGUGGAUUGUCAUUUUAUAUACGAUUUAUUUAAGUCAUAAAUGCAAGAAAAACGGGUCAUUAUCAAUUUCAGUCGCUGAUAUGUCGCUCAGAAAAGAAGUAUUUCAGUCCAAGGUUCUGCAAAGACUGUAUCCUGCAGCCCAGUGUCAGAGUACACUGCAACCUAAAGCUGAGGAACGGAUCCCACUGCCACCUGCAGAAAGACUUGAGUCCAUCCUACACAAAGAGUCAGGUGUUAAGAAGAGUUCAGCUGUACAAGGCAAAAAACUCUACACUGUACUUCCUCCUCCUGAAGGCUACCUGAUUACAGGUGGGGAUGAAUCUGUCACACCAUACAAUCCAGAUCCUAUUGACUCUGAGGAUAGCACAGCCGACACCGAUGAUCAUGAGUUACAUAAGACGAGGAGGAAGAGGAGGAAAAAGAAAAAGCUAUCUACUAUUACUACAAUUACAGAUACAGGAGAAAUAUCCACCUCUCGAGCAGAGGGCGCUGUGCAGGGCCAGACGGAUGCUGCAGAUCCCAAUGAUGAAGGUAACACUGUAAGCUCAGUGUGCCCUGAAGACAAUGAGCGGAUCAGCAAGAACAGAAAGAGGAAGAUGAAGAAGAAGCGUCACAAAGAGAAGCUCCUCACUCUUGGACUGGUGCCUCGUGCGAGAGCUCUCGAAUUUACUUACAGAGAGGAUAAUGAAGAGGAAGGAGUUGAGGGAAAUUCAGUGGGGGUGCUCAACUUCCUCCGUACCACACAGGAGAUCUAUCUCUCUGAUCGCUCCUGUGUAGCAAGUGAUCCCUCUCUCUGCCUCACUGCAGUGCAGUCUCUGUUCUCUCGUCUCUCAGGGGGCAUGCUGCCCCCUGCUGAGAUCUCUAGGUUAUGCAGACUCUGGGCUCUCCUGAGGAAGGACAAGGAGCAGUUAAUAUUACAGCUGCAAGAGUUCAGAGACACAAGCACAUUGCCUGCUGGAUGGUUUACCCCGAAGCCAGAGUCCUGCUUGGGUCCUGUUUUGUAAACCCGCACCUGCAGUACUUACCAGAACACCCGACCUGUUAUCCGACAGCAGAACUAAUUUAAUUCCAUACCCAACCUGACCCGUUUAAAAUAAAUACAGCGUUCUGAGCUGCACCCGCAUUAAAAUAAAUCUACUAUAUCAGAUGAGGUUUCAGUGGUCUGCAUUCUUUUUAAGUACUGGCUGACAGAAAUUCUCCCCAUGCAGAAAGAACCAAGGAUAUGAAGUCUGAGAAUUUAUGACAUGAGAGGAAAAACAACUGUGAAUAACCAGCAGGUCUAUGUGAAUCACCCACAUAAACCUGCUGAUUCUGAUUAUAAUAUUUCAUCAUGAAAGGGAACUUCCUUCAUACUACUCAAAGUUAAGGUCAAGGAAUUUCUUAAAAGACAGCUUGGAUUAAUCAGCUGGAGCAAAUUGUAUGAUUUCUUUUGAAGCAAAUCCCACACUGAUACAUCUGGUUUAUCUUACAUUUAACUCAAUAAUUCCUUAUGAAAAAGUUAUUUUUUUAAAAAAAUAAAUGUUCUAUUGCUCAUUCUGUCUUCAUACUCUUUUCAUGGUUUCCUGUGCAGGCAGCAUAACAGACUGCUCAUUAACACCAGACUUCAAACCAGAGCCACAUUUAUUUAUUUUUGUAAAUUCACUGUUUUGGAAAAACUGGAGGAUAGAAGUGAUUGGCUCUUUCUUUGAAAAAUCCAAUGUAACUUGAUAAUUAUGUCUUGUUGCAGCUGUAAAAUAUGUAUAUAUUCAAGUUUUAAGUCACUUUGUCUGAGAUAAAAUGAAUGUCAUUUUUUUUCAAAGAUUGUUGAUACUAGUGUGCGUGCGUGCGUGCGUGCGUGCGCCGACUAAGAUGUUUUGAAACUAAUCCAACAGCUUAUCCUAUGACAUCAUGGAAUGAGUUUAACUCUACAAGCGUCUCUAGACUGCCUUGUGUUUGCGCUAUUCUGAUAUACACAAGGCAACCCACAACAUGACAAUGGUUGCCUUUUUAGAAACACUUGAAUCUGGGUUGGCGGAGUUUUUAUUGCCUUUGAUUAACUUUAUAAUCUUCAGAAAUAAUAAUCCUGGUUUUUCUCUCAGAAAUGUUUCCUUUAUGCCAGCUGGUAUGUGAGGCAGAGGGCACAGCAGGUGUAAUUGUGGAAUUAUAACAGUUGAAAACAAGAUAAUUAAGUCAGAGACUGCUAAUUUUCUGUUUUUGUCACUUAAACCAAAAAGGCUUUAGCUUUAAUAUUGGCCUGUAUUAUUUCAUCAUUUAUAGAUCCCAAUGGAAUAUCCACUCAAAAGAACAAAGACUGUUUUGGAGUCAGAUAAAAUAAAUAAUUGCAGAAACAUUUACAACA
RNA transcript from Myxocyprinus asiaticus (Chinese sucker), 2473 nucleotides. It is a transcript of the gene named glutamate-rich protein 1, with no coding region annotated. The transcript has 7 exons. Lineage: Eukaryota; Metazoa; Chordata; Actinopteri; Cypriniformes; Catostomidae. The record is from RefSeq and is a predicted model, not a curated record.